This 91-nucleotide transfer RNA is filed under the name Deinococcus sp. Its description in RNAcentral is "tRNA-Ser". Lineage: Bacteria; Thermotogati; Deinococcota; Deinococci; Deinococcales; Deinococcaceae. The record is from RNAcentral.
GGAAGGUUGGCAGAGUCAGACCGCUUGCACUUGCUUGCUCAACAAGAGGAGACAUGCGCUCCCACAGGUUCAAAUCUUGUACCUUCCGCCA